This 378-nucleotide ribosomal RNA is filed under the name Frankia sp. RNAcentral describes it as "bacterial SSU rRNA". It matches the Rfam family "Bacterial small subunit ribosomal RNA", at positions 28 to 416 of the family's 1533-position model. Lineage: Bacteria; Bacillati; Actinomycetota; Actinomycetes; Frankiales; Frankiaceae. The record is from RNAcentral.
GACGAACGCUGGCGGCGUGCUUAACACAUGCAAGUCGAGCGGGAAGCUUCGGCUUUCAGCGGCGAACGGGUGAGUAACACGUGGGCAACCUGCCCCGAGCUCUGGAAUAACUUCGGGAAACCGGGGCUAAUACCGGAUAUGACACUACCGGACAUCUGGUGGUGUGGAAAGAUUUAUCGGCUCGGGAUGGGCCCGCGGCCUAUCAGCUUGUUGGUGGGGUAACGGCCUACCAAGGCGACGACGGGUAGCCGGCCUGAGAGGGCGACCGGCCACACUGGGACUGAGACACGGCCCAGACUCCUACGGGAGGCAGCAGUGGGGAAUAUUGCGCAAUGGGCGAAAGCCUGACGCAGCGACGCCGCGUGAGGGACGAAGGCC